GCUGGGUGUGGUGGUGCACGCCUGUAAUCCCAGCAGCUGGGGAGACUGAGGCAGGAGGAUUGAGAGUUCAAAGCCAGCCUCAGCAAAAGCAAGGUCCUACGCAACUCAGUGAGAUCCUGUCUCUU
RNAcentral lists this small RNA (125 nucleotides) under Marmota monax (woodchuck). The record is from RNAcentral. Lineage: Eukaryota; Metazoa; Chordata; Mammalia; Rodentia; Sciuridae.